UACGGGGGGAGCAAGCGUUGUCCGGAAUUAUUGGGCGUAAAGGGCGUGUAGGCGGCCUGGUCAGUCGAAUGUGAAAUGCCACGGCUCAACCGUGGAAUUGCGUUCGAUACUGCCUGGCUUGAGUACGUGAGAGGUGUGCGGAAUUCCUGGUGUAGCGGUGGAAUGCGUAGAUAUCAGGAAGAACACCGAUGGCGAAGGCAGCACACUGGCGCGAUACUGACGCUGAGGCGCGAAAGCGUGGGGAG
Molecule: ribosomal RNA, 245 nt
Filed under: uncultured Bacillota bacterium
Lineage: Bacteria; Bacillati; Bacillota
Description: uncultured Firmicutes bacterium partial 16S ribosomal RNA
Rfam family: Bacterial small subunit ribosomal RNA
Source: RNAcentral